UACGAAGGGGGCUAGCGUUGCUCGGAAUCACUGGGCGUAAAGCGCACGUAGGCGGAUCUUUAAGUCGGGGGUGAAAUCCUGGAGCUCAACUCCAGAACUGCCUUCGAUACUGAAGAUCUCGAGUCCGGGAGAGGUGAGUGGAACUGCGAGUGUAGAGGUGAAAUUCGUAGAUAUUCGCAAGAACACCAGUGGCGAAGGCGGCUCACUGGCCCGGUACUGACGCUGAGGUGCGAAAGCGUGGGGAGCGAACAGG
This 253-nucleotide ribosomal RNA is filed under the name uncultured bacterium. RNAcentral's name for it is "partial 16S ribosomal RNA". It matches the Rfam family "Bacterial small subunit ribosomal RNA", at positions 524 to 776 of the family's 1533-position model. The record is from RNAcentral.